UACGUAGGGGGCAAGCGUUGUCCGGAAUCAUUGGGCGUAAAGAGCGUGUAGGCGGCCAGGUAGGUCAGCUGUGAAAACUCGAGGCUCAACUUCGAGAGGUCGGUUGAAACCAUCUGGCUAGAGUCCGGAAGAGGAGAGUGGAAUUCCCGGUGUAGCGGUGAAAUGCGCAGAUAUCGGGAAGAACACCCGUGGCGAAGGCGGCUCUCUGGGACGGUACUGACGCUGAGACGCGAAAGCGUGGGGAGCAAACAGG
Molecule: ribosomal RNA, 253 nt
Filed under: uncultured bacterium
Lineage: Bacteria
Description: partial 16S ribosomal RNA
Rfam family: Bacterial small subunit ribosomal RNA
Source: RNAcentral